Non-coding RNA from Pelobates cultripes (western spadefoot toad), 636 nucleotides. The record is from the annotation of a GenBank genome assembly. NCBI's taxonomy places the organism in Eukaryota, Metazoa, Chordata, Amphibia, Anura, Pelobatidae.
GUUUUAUCAGAGUCUGUAUAAAUGCUUAACAGCAAUUUGAUCCAUACUUGCAAAAACUAUUUAAAGGCUAAUUUUUCAAUUGUAGCACAAUAGUUUCCUGAUCAGAGGAUAAAUCUGAGUGCCAUUCCAAUGUCAAUUACAUUUUUCCUAGUUUGUUGCACAAUUUGAAGUAUUGGAUAAAGAAAAAAGCGAGGAAGGCUGAGCCUUGUGGCCACAUGUCUGUCACCUGUAACAGCACCCCUAGGCAUAAGUGUUUACAGCCGUUUAGGAGAUAUUCCCUUCCAGAUACAGGCAGCUACUGAACACACCAAUCCACCCCGACAGGAAACCAUAUGAAUGCCGUAAACAGCCAAACCGGAACCAUACAAAUGCUGUAGAGAGCCGAAUAGGAAAACCAUAUGAAAGGUUUACACUCCUAGCAGUCGAACUGGAACAGCAUACAAAAAAAAAAAAAAUAAAACCAUGUCAAAAUCAUCCAAAAUGGUCCAAAAUAUAGAUCAAAGUCCUUCAUGACCAAAUGAAGAAUGGCUUUACUGCCCAAAACCAGUUCCACAGAGUCUUCUAUCCUGGAGAUAAUUAUCUCCAAGGACAGAAGCAAAACUCCAUUGAACACAUGGCAGCAAGAGACAAUAAAAU